AAUUUUUUAAUAUAACAAAUAUAUUUAGCUUCCAACCAAAAAGUCUAGAAUUUCUAGAAAAAUUA
Molecule: transfer RNA, 65 nt
Filed under: Homarus gammarus (European lobster)
Lineage: Eukaryota; Metazoa; Arthropoda; Malacostraca; Decapoda; Nephropidae
Description: tRNA-Gly
Source: RNAcentral